AGUCUCGUGCACUGGAUAGCAGAGAAAUUUAGUGCCAAAUUUGCAACCAGACUCUGUAAGAUUUUACGUUCUAUAUCCCUGCAUAGUUAAUCGAGGGGAUUAACUAUGAUCCCUGUCAGUUUUGUGUAAACGUGUCUUGUGAACGACUUAUUUUUCUGCGGUUGAUAAAUGUCCAGAGUUUUGGUGUGUUGAUAAAAAUCGUUUAUUUCUAUUCAGGGUAUUCUCAUUUUCUCUUCACUCUUUUGACGGAAUUUGAACGAGUGUUCAACGGACGAGCGCUUAUUGCCAACUCAGAGGACACGAACGCGUACAGCCACUUGCACCAGCACACUUUCUAAUGCCAAGAAGAUCCAUCUGUCGACCUUCAGGUGUGUUAGAGAAAGCUGACCAGUACCGAAGGAAGUAGAACUGAAAAGGCUGAUAUCCGAUGGAAAUGGAAAUACAAAGCUUAAAGAGACACUGUCACGCUCGACCGUCAUUAUGUAAUUAUUGGAUUUGAACGAGCAGUCGUCAUCUGCCUAUGAAGGCCGUAGAGUUCGCCCGAGGCUUACCUAUAUUCCAAUUAUAAUGUGUAGUAGAAUAAACAUCUGCCUUGCAAAUGCUACAAAUGUCU
Molecule: long non-coding RNA, 613 nt
Organism: Stylophora pistillata
Lineage: Eukaryota; Metazoa; Cnidaria; Anthozoa; Scleractinia; Pocilloporidae
Source: RefSeq, a predicted model, not a curated record